AUCGAACGCUGGCGGCAGGCUUAACACAUGCAAGUCGAGCGGGCACUUUCGGGUGUCUGCGGCGGACGGGUGAGUAACGCGUGGGAACGUGCCCUCAGGUUCGGAAUAACUCAGGGAAACUUGAGCUAAUACCGGAUACGCCCUCUUGGGUAAAGGCGUGCUGACGGAGGAUCGGUCCGCGUCUGAUUAGCUAGUUGGUGAGGUAACGGCUCACCAAGGCGACGAGCAGUAGCCGGUCUGAGAGGAUGAUCAGCGACACUGAGACUGGGACACAGCCGAGACUCUUACGGGAGGGAGCAGUGGGGGAUCUUGGACAGCGGGCGGAAGCCUGAUCCACCCAUGACGCGUGAGUGAUGAAGGCCUUAGGGUUGUAAAGCUCUUUUAUCCGGGACGAUAAUGACGGUACCGGAAGAAUAAGCCCCGGCUAACUUCGUG
Molecule: ribosomal RNA, 435 nt
Filed under: uncultured bacterium
Lineage: Bacteria
Description: partial 16S ribosomal RNA
Rfam family: Bacterial small subunit ribosomal RNA
Source: RNAcentral